GUAAAUUUAAGUUUUUCUGAAAUGCAAUUUAUAUCUUCAUUGUCAAUUUGUCACCAACAGUCCAGUUACGGUUAACAUUGAAAAUUUCUAGAUAUUGCUUAUUUUAAACGCAUUAACUUUUGGCGUACGCAACAAAAAAAUAAAUUUUGGGAAUUAAAAUUGGUCUCUAUAUACUUUUACUUUUACUAAUUUUGUUAAAAUAUAUCUCGGCGGAAAAAGUUAGUUAUUUGUUUUUUGACUGUGAGAGAGAUAAACACCUUCAAGGUAAUUCAUUGUGCAUAAAUCAAUUACCUAAAUCAAAAACACUUAUUUCGUCUGACAUUAUUGACUAUUUGAAGAUAAAAUACCGCAUUUUAUUCGAACUGGGAGUGCUUUUUUGUAUCUUAGCUGUAAUGAAAACAGUGCAAGUGAUUAACAUGCUUUCAAUCCACGAGAAAAAAAUCAUACUUAGAAAAACUAAUACUCAGGCGCAGCUGAGUGUUAUGUAAAUGUUGCAUUUUAUUCGACUGAAUAACGACGGUUAAUGUGAUUCAAUGAUAUGGGACUGAAUGGAAAAUUAUUGUUUAUUAAAUACGGGAAUUGAAAACUAGAAAGUUUUGGAUUUUUUUUAUUUGUUAUUGGUUCUAAACCACUUUGUUAAACCUUCCGAGCAUGAUAUUCACCGAGUGCAGCAUAUUUGCAGCAUAACAGCACGGAUAAUUUGCCUCAAACAUGAGUUAAACGCCUUCUCAUUUUUAUUUAAUGGAUGAAUAAUGUUUCGUAAACGUACUUAGUUUAUAUGGUUGUUCACUAUGUCGAGCAUGUACCAAAGCGAUGGAUACAUUUUUAAUUGAUGACGUCGGACAAACGAGUGCAAUAUGGAUGUUUUUUCAUAUACAGAAUGUCUCUUAAACAUUCGAUAAUGAUUCGCCUGAGAAGUCAGCAAAUCAAAAAUAACAUUAAUGAUAGAAAUAUCAUGGUUUCGAAUGGUGGAUGAAAAAUCGAUGGUUGUAAAAUAUUUUAGUUUGGGUUUGGGCAAUAGUCGUUAUUAAUCAAAGUAUUUUUUGAGAUGUUUGCUUUAGAUAAACAAAAAACACUUUAUUUGAGUACAAAUUCGAGUUUUCCGUUUUCACUAUUAUGUAAAUUUUGCUGCCUUCUGUUCCAAAUGAUAGAUCUUGAUUUUCAUAAGCACAAAACUGAUGAAUGUUAAAUUCCUUAAACAGUAGGUAAA
Molecule: long non-coding RNA, 1210 nt
Organism: Dendroctonus ponderosae (mountain pine beetle)
Lineage: Eukaryota; Metazoa; Arthropoda; Insecta; Coleoptera; Curculionidae
Exons: 2
Source: RefSeq, a predicted model, not a curated record